Molecule: ribosomal RNA, 253 nt
Filed under: uncultured bacterium
Lineage: Bacteria
Description: partial 16S ribosomal RNA
Rfam family: Bacterial small subunit ribosomal RNA
Source: RNAcentral
UACGUAGGUGGCGAGCGUUGUCCGGAUUUACUGGGCGUAAAGCGCGCGCAGGCGGACUGAUCAGUCUGGGGUGAAAUCUCACGGCUCAACUGUGAGCGGUCCCUGGAUACUGUCAGCCUUGAGAUGUCUAGAGGAGAGCGGAAUUCCCGGUGUAGUGGUGGAAUGCGUAGAUAUCGGGAAGAACACCGGUGGCGAAGGCGGGUCUCUGGGCCGAUACUGACGCUGAGGAGCGAAAGCGUGGGGAGCGAACAGG